This 407-nucleotide ribosomal RNA is filed under the name uncultured bacterium. RNAcentral describes it as "bacterial SSU rRNA". It matches the Rfam family "Bacterial small subunit ribosomal RNA", at positions 354 to 776 of the family's 1533-position model. The record is from RNAcentral.
GUCGAGAAUCUUCGGCAAUGGGCGAAAGCCUGACCGAGCGACGCCGCGUGGUGGAAGAAGGCCCUCGGGUUGUAAACACCUGUUGGGGGGAAGGAAAUUUUGACCGAACCCCUGAGGAAGCACGGGCUAAGUUCGUGCCAGCAGCCGCGGUAAUACGAACCGUGCGAACGUUAUUCGGAAUCACUGGGCUUAAAGAGCGCGUAGGCGGCGUCGUAAGUUGGAGGUGAAAUCCCAUCGGCUCAACCGUGGAACUGCCCCCAAUACUGCGAUGCUCGAGGGAGGUAGGGGCAUGUGGAACUUCCGGUGGAGCGGUGAAAUGUGUUGAGAUCGGAAGGAACGCCAGUGGCGAAAGCGACGUGCUGGAUCUCUUCUGACGCUGAGGCGCGAAAGCUAGGGGAGCGAACGGG